GACGAACGCUGGCGGCGUGCUUAACACAUGCAAGUCGAACGGUGAAGCGCCUUCCUUUUUGGUGGGUGUGGAUGAGUGGCGAACGGGUGAGUAACACGUGAGUAACCUGCCCCCUUCUUCUGGAUAACCGCAUGAAAGUGUGGCUAAUACGGGAUAUUCUGGGUCUGUCGCAUGAUGGGUCUGGGAAAGAUCUUGUUUCGGUGUGGGAUGGGCUCGCGGCCUAUCAGCUUGUUGGUGGGGUGAUGGCCUACCAAGGCGGUGACGGGUAGCCGGCCUGAGAGGGUGGACGGUCACACUGGGACUGAGACACGGACCAGACUCCUACGGGAGGCAGCAGUGGGGAAUAUUGCACAAGGGGCGCAAGGCUGAUGCAGCGACGCCGCGUGAGGGAUGGAGGCCUUCGGGUUGUGAACCUCUUUCGCCAGUGAAGCAGGCCUGCCUAGUUUGUGGGUGGGUUGACGGUAGCUGGAGAAGAAGCGCCGGCUAACUACGUG
Molecule: ribosomal RNA, 494 nt
Filed under: uncultured bacterium
Lineage: Bacteria
Description: partial 16S ribosomal RNA
Rfam family: Bacterial small subunit ribosomal RNA
Source: RNAcentral